GAGAAACCAUGGGGUCAAGGAGGAAAUGCUGGUGUAUUACCUGCUGCCGCCACUGUCCCUCCUUCUGUCCUGGCCUCUGUGCUGUGGUGACAGAAAUCGCCCCGGAGCUGGGCUGCAGAGUUCUCCCCUGUGAUUAGAUGGGCCCGCUCUCCCCAUCUCAGUCAGCUGACUCCCAGCCUUAAUUGUACCCUGCAUCCUUGAUCCCCUUUUGUGAGUCUUGUCCAUGAUGACCUUCGUUUGCCCUGGAUCAUCAAGAAGAUUGUCAUCACAAACUUCCUCGUCACUCACUUCCCUUGUACACGCAGCCUUGGAAGCUACGUGUCCCGGAAGCCCUGGCUGAAGACAUUACGUAAACAAGAAACACACUUUCACUUUGUAGACCAUUCAGAUUUCAUGACUUAUUUAACAGCAGAGCCUAUCCUAUCCUGGCCAAUACCCAUAUCGAGUUUCCAUUUGUUGAUGUUUGUUGUGCAGUCCUUGUGCUAGGUGCUUAAAUAUAUCACCUCAUUUAAUCCUUUCAGUGAUCCUGGAAAGUAGUGACCCAUCAUGAAUGUGCUCAUUUUGCAGGAAAGGACGCUGAUACUCAGAGUGAGAGGUCAAGUGACUUGCCCAAUUCGGUGGCAGAGCUGGUUAGAACUAGUCAGAUACCUAAUGGCAAGGAUCUUAACCAAUUUUUUUUUACCUUUAAGAAAGCGUUUUCUAAAACGAUAAUGUACAUUCAGAUUUACCCAGAGGUCAUGUUAAGAUACAGGUUCUUAACAUGAGGUGUGGACCGGAGUCUGAAAGUACAGUUCUAACAAGCUCCCAGGUGAUGCUGAUAUUGCUGGUCCACGGAUCUAAGUAGCAAGAUUUUAAGCUCUAUUGUGCAUUGGUUUGGGUACAUGGCCACCCACCUCCCACCUUAUUUUAGGUAGAAAUUAUCCCUUGGAAGCUGAAAGAAAUCCGAGGGUAUCUCAGCAGGAGGGGGAUGCGCAAAACGAGGUCCAGAGAGGCCUGGCACUUGGUCUGGUACCUACCAGGUUGCUGCUCUUGCAUUUGACUGGAGAUUGAGGA
This is a long non-coding RNA of Eptesicus fuscus (big brown bat), 1053 nucleotides long. RefSeq lists it as uncharacterized. The transcript has 3 exons. The record is from RefSeq and is a predicted model, not a curated record. Lineage: Eukaryota; Metazoa; Chordata; Mammalia; Chiroptera; Vespertilionidae.